AGAGUUUGAUCCUGGCUCAGAACGAACGCUGGCGGCGUGCCUAACACAUGCAAGUCGAACGGAGAUAAGGGGCUUGCUCCUUAUCUUAGUGGCGCACGGGUGAGUAACGCGUGGAUAAUCUGCCUUGGAAUCUGGGAUAACAUCUCGAAAGGGGUGCUAAUACCGGAUAAGACCACGAGCUCUUCGGAGUUUGCGGUAAAAGGGGGCCUCUGUAUAUGCUUCUGUUUCAAGAUGAGUCCGCGUACCAUUAGCUAGUUGGCAGGGUAAUGGCCUACCAAGGCGACGAUGGUUAGCUGGUCUGAGAGGAUGAUCAGCCACACUGGAACUGAGACACGGUCCAGACUCCUACGGGAGGCAGCAGUGGGGAAUUUUGCGCAAUGGGGGAAACCCUGACGCAGCAACGCCGCGUGAGUGAUGAAGGCCUUCGGGUCGUAAAGCUCUGUCAGAGGGAAAGAAGUGU
Molecule: ribosomal RNA, 460 nt
Filed under: uncultured bacterium
Lineage: Bacteria
Description: bacterial SSU rRNA
Rfam family: Bacterial small subunit ribosomal RNA
Source: RNAcentral